Molecule: non-coding RNA, 80 nt
Organism: Schistocerca cancellata (South American locust)
Lineage: Eukaryota; Metazoa; Arthropoda; Insecta; Orthoptera; Acrididae
Source: the annotation of a RefSeq genome assembly
GGCCAGUGAAGGUGUGGCCUAAUGGAUAAGGCGUCGGACUUCGGAUCCGAAGAUUGCAGGUUCGAAUCCUGUGACGGUCG